RNAcentral lists this transfer RNA (72 nucleotides) under Aphelasterias japonica. RNAcentral's name for it is "tRNA-Asp". Lineage: Eukaryota; Metazoa; Echinodermata; Asteroidea; Forcipulatida; Asteriidae. The record is from RNAcentral.
AAGGAAUUAGUUAAACUCUAUAACCCUGGACUGUCAGACCAGAAUUGCUGAUUAACAACUCAGUAUUUCUUA